RNAcentral lists this ribosomal RNA (253 nucleotides) under uncultured bacterium. RNAcentral describes it as "partial 16S ribosomal RNA". It matches the Rfam family "Bacterial small subunit ribosomal RNA", at positions 524 to 776 of the family's 1533-position model. The record is from RNAcentral.
UACGGGGGGGGCAAGCGUUGUUCGGAAUUACUGGGCGUAAAGCGUGCGCAGGCGGCUUUGCAAGACAGAUGUGAAAUCCCCGGGCUCAACCUGGGAACUGCAUUUGUGACUGCAAGGCUAGAGUACGGUAGAGGGGGAUGGAAUUCCGCGUGUAGCAGUGAAAUGCGUAGAUAUGCGGAGGAACACCGAUGGCGAGGGCAAUCCCCUGGACCUGUACUGACGCUCAUGCACGAAAGCGUGGGGAGCAAACAGG